RNAcentral lists this ribosomal RNA (492 nucleotides) under uncultured bacterium. RNAcentral describes it as "partial 16S ribosomal RNA". It matches the Rfam family "Bacterial small subunit ribosomal RNA", at positions 29 to 507 of the family's 1533-position model. The record is from RNAcentral.
AGUGAACGCUGGCGGUAGGCCUAACACAUGCAAGUCGAACGGCAGCACAGUAAGAGCUUGCUCUUACGGGUGGCGAGUGGCGGACGGGUGAGGAAUACAUCGGAAUCUACUUUUUCUUGGGGGAUAACGUAGGGAAACUUACGCUAAUACCUCAUACGACCUACGGGUGAAAGCAGGGGAUCUUCGGACCUUUCGCGAUUGAAUGAGCCGAUGUCGGAUUAGCUAGUUGGCGGGGUAAAGGCCCACCAAGGCGACGAUCCGUAGCUGGUCUGAGAGGAUGAUCAGCCACACUGGAACUGAGACACGGUCCAGACUCCUACGGGAGGCAGCAGUGGGGAAUAUUGGACAAUGGGCGCAAGCCUGAUCCAGCCAUACCGCGUGGGUGAAGAAGGCCUUCGGGUUGUAAAGCCCUUUUGUUGGGAAAGAAAAGCAGCAGGUUAAUACCCCGCUGUUCUGACGGUACCCAAAGAAUAAGCAACGGCUAACUUCGUG